GCUUGGUGUAGAGCAUCUUGUUGAAGUGCUCGGGGCUGAAGUCCUUGACCCACGGCGUGUUGUUGUCGUUCCCGGCCAGUGCCGGGUCCGGGAUCGUGUU
Molecule: transfer RNA, 100 nt
Filed under: Embleya hyalina
Lineage: Bacteria; Bacillati; Actinomycetota; Actinomycetes; Kitasatosporales; Streptomycetaceae
Description: tRNA-Phe
Source: RNAcentral